Molecule: transfer RNA, 65 nt
Filed under: Nesophrosyne maritima
Lineage: Eukaryota; Metazoa; Arthropoda; Insecta; Hemiptera; Cicadellidae
Description: tRNA-Ser
Source: RNAcentral
AGUUAUUUAGCUUAUUAAUUAAAGUUUAUAUUUUGAAAAUAUAAGAAAGAGAAAUUUAAUAACUU